CCUACGGGAGGCAGCAGUGGGGAAUAUUGCACAAUGGGGGAAACCCUGAUGCAGCGACGCCGCGUGAGUGAAGAAGUACUUCGGUACGUAAAGCUCUAUCAGCAGGGAAGAAAAUGACGGUACCUGAUUAAGCAGCCCCGGCUAACUACGUGCCAGCAGCCGCGGUAAUACGUAGGGGGCAAGCGUUAUCCGGAUUUACUGGGUGUAAAGGGAGCGUAGACGGCAGUACAAGGCUGGAGGGAAAUGCCGGGGCUUAACCCCGGAACUGCUUUGGCAACUGUGUGGCUGGAGUGCAGGAGAGGUAAGUGGAAGUCCUAGUGUAGCGGUGAAAUGCGUAGAUAUUAGGAGGAACACCAGUGGCGAAGGCGGCUUGCUGGACUGUAACGGACGUUGAGGCGCGAAAGCGUGGGGAGCAAACAGGAUUAGAUACCCCUGUAGUC
This 440-nucleotide ribosomal RNA is filed under the name uncultured bacterium. Its description in RNAcentral is "partial 16S ribosomal RNA". It matches the Rfam family "Bacterial small subunit ribosomal RNA", at positions 338 to 795 of the family's 1533-position model. The record is from RNAcentral.